Molecule: long non-coding RNA, 1354 nt
Filed under: Homo sapiens (human)
Lineage: Eukaryota; Metazoa; Chordata; Mammalia; Primates; Hominidae
Description: HSALNT0027287
Source: RNAcentral
UUGGGCAGUGGACUGGCUCAGGGGGACAUGGUAGAGUUGCUCACGACCUGGUCCUCACCUUUGCAGGGUCCAGGAGGGCUGGCUCAUGCCAACCCAGCUCAUGAGGCCGACGAAGGCAGCAGACCCAUCAGAAGCCAAAGAUGGGAACAUUCCUGGCACAUCAGCAGAUGGGAUGAAGCCCAGAGAGGCCAAGUGACUCGUCCAAGGCGAGUCUGUAAGUUAGAAGGAGGGCCUGGGUGUCCUCAGGGCCCUGCCUCGCCAGCCAGCUUCUGCUCCUGGGCUCUUGCUGAACAAUGACCAUGACUAGAAUGCGGCAUCCUUCUCUCACCAAGGGCAACGUGUUCCCGGCCCCUGCUCUCUGCCAAUCCUAUUCCCUGCCAGGGUGGCAGAGGCAGCCCCGAGCACCCAUGGCUCCGGAAUACCACAGACGGUGGCACCUGGCCCUGCAUUCCUGCUGUGGCUUCAGCUUCGGCUGGAGCUGGACAGACGAAGCUGGACCCAGGCCCCACACCUCACUAGGCACUAGCCAGACCCAGGCCCUAUGCCUCACUAGGCACAGGGGUCCCCACGGCCGCCUCCUUCUGAGUGGGGGUUGAGCUGGUGCCCCCCACCCACGGCAGGGCAGCUACAAGGGAGGAUUGGUGAAGGCCCGAAUGCAGGGCACAGAGUGGAAGCGCCUCCGGAAUUCUUGCUGCUGUUGGGAGUUCGGAGAAUUUUAUCCACAUGCAGCACUGACUCCAGGCUGGAGAGGGCUGUGACCAGGCGUGCUCUGCCACUGGCCAGGGGUUACCUAGGUGGAGCUCAGUCAGGUGACUUGUGGAGCUCAGGCCCGUGAGCUUGUGAGCUGGGGAGCGGGGGUCUCCAGGCUGGGCCAGCUCGGGGGUGGCUCCGCAGGGGAGGAGACCUGGUGCCCUGCUGGGCGAGGGUCAGUCUGGGCCUGGGUGGUUCCGCCAGGAGGGUCAUGCACCUGGCCCUGGGGGUGCCUGUCAGAAGGCCUGGCCCUUCCAGCUUCUCACCCGCCCCAGGGCUGUGCAGGCCCCACUCCCUGGCUUCUCAAGGAGGGUUGCCAGACUUAGCACAAAGAUAAGAUACUGCACGGGACAUAUGUCAGCUGCAAAAUUGCUUCUCGUUGAUCUGAAAUUCAAGUGUAACUGGGUGCCCUGUAUUGUAUCUGGCAUUCCUAUCUGGCAAUAAGGCCUCUGGUCCUGGGUACCGGGAGCCUGGCCUCAGCUUUUGUGUGCCGUUUGGCCCACCACAAGUCAGGGGCUCCUCUGGGCCUCAGCAUCCUCCUCUGUCAUCAAAUGCCGCCCAGGACAGAAAGCUUUUCUCGAAAGCAGGCCCAGCUGGAACCCGC